This 250-nucleotide ribosomal RNA is filed under the name uncultured prokaryote. RNAcentral describes it as "partial 16S ribosomal RNA". It matches the Rfam family "Bacterial small subunit ribosomal RNA", at positions 524 to 773 of the family's 1533-position model. The record is from RNAcentral.
UACGUAGGGAGCGAGCGUUGUCCGGAAUUACUGGGUGUAAAGGGAGCGUAGGCGGGACUGCAAGUCAGAUGUGAAAUGCCGGGGCUUAACCCCGGAGCUGCAUUUGAAACUGUGGUUCUUGAGUGAAGUAGAGGCAAGCGGAAUUCCUGGUGUAGCGGUGAAAUGCGUAGAUAUCAGGAGGAACACCGGUGGCGAAGGCGGCUUGCUGGGCUUUUACUGACGCUGAGGCUCGAAAGCGUGGGUAGCAAAC